UUGCCUCGGCAGGUCGCACCUACCUUGUAGCACCCUACCCUGUAGGGCCUACCCGGGAGGUGCGGGUAAGCCUGCCGGCGGCCCACCAAACUCUGUUUGAUAUUGAAUUCUGAACCUAUAACUAAAUAAGUUAAAACUUUCAACAACGGAUCUCUUGGUUCUGGCAUCGAUGAAGAACGCAGCGAAAUGCGAUAAGUAAUGUGAAUUGCAGAAUUCAGUGAAUCAUCGAAUCUUUGAACGCAUAUUGCGCCCAUUAGUAUUCUAGUGGGCAGGACCGUUCGAGCGUCAUUUCAACCCUUAAGCCUUCGUUGCUUAGUGUUGGGAGCCUACGGCAACGUAGCUCCUCAAAGUUAGUGGCGGAGUUAGUUCACACUCUAGACGUAGUAAUUUUUUAUCUCGCCUAUUAGUUGGACUAGUCCCCUGCCGUAAAACCCCCAAUUUAUCAAGGUUGACCUCGAAUCGGUUCAGACAAACUCGCUAAAUUGAAGCAUCUUAGUCAGCGAAGGAAAAGAAACCAACAGGGAUUGCCCUAGUAACGGCGAGUGAAGCGGCAACAGCUCAAAUUUGAAAUCUGGCCCUCGGGUCCGAGUUGUAAUUUGUAGAGGAUGCUUUUGG
Molecule: ribosomal RNA, 615 nt
Filed under: fungal endophyte
Lineage: Eukaryota; Fungi
Description: eukaryotic LSU rRNA
Rfam family: 5.8S ribosomal RNA (bases 135-288)
Source: RNAcentral